GACGAACGCUGGCGGCGUGCCUAAUACAUGCAAGUUGAGCGAUGAAGAUUGGUGCUUGCACCAAUUUGAAGAGCAGCGAACGGGUGAGUAACGCGUGGGGAAUCUGCCUUUGAGCGGGGGACAACAUUUGGAAACGAAUGCUAAUACCGCAUAACAACUUUAAACAUAAGUUUUAAGUUUGAAAGAUGCAAUUGCAUCACUCAAAGAUGAUCCCGCGUUGUAUUAGCUAGUUGGUGAGGUAAAGGCUCACCAAGGCGAUGAUACAUAGCCGACCUGAGAGGGUGAUCGGCCACAUUGAGACUGAGACACGGCCCAAACUCCUACGGGAGGCAGCAGUAGGGAAUCUUCGGCAAUGGACGAAAGUCUGACCGAGCAACGCCGCGUGAGUGAAGAAGGUUUUCGGAUCGUAAAACUCUGUUGGUAGAGAAGAACGUUGGUGAGAGUGGAAAGCUCAUCAAGUGACGGUAACUACCCAGAAAGGGACGGCUAACUACGUG
RNAcentral lists this ribosomal RNA (497 nucleotides) under uncultured bacterium. RNAcentral describes it as "partial 16S ribosomal RNA". It matches the Rfam family "Bacterial small subunit ribosomal RNA", at positions 28 to 507 of the family's 1533-position model. The record is from RNAcentral.